RNAcentral lists this long non-coding RNA (7606 nucleotides) under Aphidius gifuensis. RNAcentral's name for it is "uncharacterized LOC122856040, transcript variant X11". The record is from RNAcentral. Lineage: Eukaryota; Metazoa; Arthropoda; Insecta; Hymenoptera; Braconidae.
UGUUGGUAGAGGGGGUUGACCGCAUUACUACCUUUAGUCAUUAGAAAAUAUUGGAAAAUAUUCAUUUUUUGUUAUUUUAAUAAUAUCUAAAUAUUAUUUAUCCAUUUAAAAUUAAUAAUUAUAAAUUUAUUAAAUUUUUUCAUAUAAAUUAAUUGGUGAAAACAUAAUAUUUCGACUUGUAAUGUGUAAUAAUUGAUGAACUAUUUUGUUGAUAUGAGGCGUAGUAAUACACACUGAAGGCUUUAUUAACCCCACUCUUGAUUGUUGAGUGCGUCAUUCCAGGGCUGUUAUUCGUCGAGUGUAGACUGUAUCUUGCUCGGUUGGUCUUGAAGACUGUGCAUCGAUAUUCGGAGGAACUCACCUUUGACGUCGAUUAACACACGAGCUUGCUACAGUCUCACCGUUGAUGAGAUGGCAUUGGAAUGAUCAGCAAGAGAGAGCAAAGGAGAUGUGAUGUGAUGAGAUGAGAUGAGAGGAGAGGGAGGGGGCUGUGAUGAUUGCAGCAACAUUCACUCACUUGCUUGCGUGCUUUCUUGCUUAUGUUGGUUGAUCUCUCUCUCUUACCUGACAGAUGACACAUACACACAGAGAGACAUUGAGAGAUGAUGUCAAGCCAAUUUCAUCGUCGGUUUGUUUACAAUGCAAACACCUUGUUCAAUUGAAAGACAAAAAUAUGUACUCAAAAUCCAUUAAGAGGAAAUGAUUCGAUCGUCCGGAUAUUAUUGUUGUUGUUGUUGUUGCCAUUUUCUAUAUCAACAGCGUCGCAAUGGCCAAGUCACAUCAAUCACAGACAUUUAUUUUGAUACAUCUCGGUGAGAUUAAAAAAAAAGAAAUUGGAUUUGUUUGAUUAUAUAUUUUUUUUGAUUAAAUUGUGGGUUAAAAAUAAAUUUAAGGUAUUGUAAAUUGAGAGGUGAAGGGGAGGGGGGGGGGUGUAGGGAACAAAAAAAAUGUAUGUUUUUGUAGAUGAUGGCCAUGAUGUACAUGUAUUAUCAAGCGGCGCUGAAUGAACCUGGCUGAAUAACGUCGUCGUCGACUUGUUGAGCUUGCCCAAAUAAAUAAACUACAGCCACUUUGCACUACUCCUCGUCAUCAUGUUGUUCGUCUCUGUGCGUGUGUUUAUGUGUACAUCGUUACCUUGACCACUUGAAAUAAUAAUUAUCAUCAUCAUCAUCAUGAUCACCACGACAAUGGAUUGUGAAAUAUGUACUACGGAGAACCUCGCACAAGUAUUUUACAUAUAUAUAUAAAUAAAUAUAAUAUUAUUAUUAUUAGUAUCAUCAUCUAGAAGGAAACAUACACAAGUACAAAAUGACACUUGGCUGUUUUUUGGUGAGCUGUGUUGUUAAUCCUUGCAAUAAUAAUAUUUAUGUGUUGGGGAAAUAUUAGUAUAUUUUCCCAGGUUCUCCGGAUGUCAUCAUCCAUAAUGGAAUGUGGCUUCUUUGACAUUGCACUGCACACUGCUCCACAUUUAUGCUGAUUUACAAUUCAAAACGAGAACGGUAUCACAAUUCUACUAAUGAAAUUUAAUUUUUAUUUUAUCAAUUUAUAAUAAUAUUCGUAUUGAAUAUGAACAUGUACGACGAGAUGUAUGAUAUAUAUAUAUAUAUAUAUGGGAUGGAGGGGGGUAAAAAAAAAAAAGGAAAAACGUAUGAUUUUAGUCACAGGAAAUCAUCAGCCUCAUGUUGUCCUGACUAGAUGCAGUUUUAAUUGGCAAGUACCCAAACAACGAGCACCAUUGUCACAAUCAGAGAGAUUCACUCCUAUUGCUGUACUAUUUUUAAAUGAAUGAACUGAGCACAACUUUGAAAUUAUAUCAGGUAUUUAAAUUUUCUCCAAUGGGGAAAAAAAUAAAAAAAAGAAAUAUGGGAAUAGGGGUGGGGUUUUUUUUUUUUUUUUGUUUGUUAUGUUCAGAAGGUGCUGUCAAUAAUAGUGGAGAUGAUAUAGUAACCAGGCUGAUUUAAUAACGAAAAUUGGAGCAUGCUCUUUAUAUGAAAACUGAUUGGUCACAUCAUCCCAAUACAUACAAAUACGUGAAACGAAUUAUCAACAUGGAUCGAUUCCAAUGCGCUAUAAUAUUUAUCAAAAAUUUUCCAUGAUUUAUGAUGGCAAUAAGGGGUAAUAUGUCAAUCAGGGGUAAGCGGCAAUUAAUGAGCGUUAUUCUCUUUUUUUUUUUUCCUCUUGUUCUUCUUGUUAUUGUUGUUGAGCUUCAAAAACAAGUCAGGGUCUUGGAGACUGAUUAAGCUAAUCCGGAAUGGCACAGUUGACCUUGUGAUGAUAACUAACGUACGUGGUGUAGCCUAGGACAGAUCAUACGAGAUUAAAACAUCAAGAGUAUUAUGGCGUGUGCUUGUUUUAAUUAAAAAUAUAUACGUGGGUGGAAAUCGAAAGGGAGGGGAAAAAUAAUAAUUUGAGCUACAGGCACCAGUUGAGGCGAAAUAAAACAAGAUUACUACUACCACUACUACUACUACUACGACGACGUGGUGAUUCCGGAAUGAGACAAGUUUUAUAACUAUUCAACGUAGUUGUUGGCAUUGGCAUUGUUGCUGUAUCGGUUCACAAUAUUACCAGAGCACAAAUACAUCAUCAAAAAUAUUAUCAAUCAAUCACAACCAAUAGAAAGAAAUUUAUAUAUACAUAUCAAACAGAUGAGUAACUGAGCACAAAUCAAUUUAUGCAGUUUUAUAAUAAUAUAUUGAUUGACAAAAGCCAAUGUCUUGGUCAUCUAGCUUGGCUUUGUCUCAACAAUCAUGUGGUACAGUCCAAUUUGAUCAAGAUCAUAUUAUCAUGGGAGGUAACGCACGUAUCAGUAUAAUUAUUUAUUUAAUAUACAAUCUGUUGUUACCUAUUUUUUUUUUCUUCUUCUUCUUAAACUUUUUGUCUUCUUAAUUUUAUUUGAUGAUGAAAUCAAUUGCGUGUGUGCGUGUGUGUCUAUCUUGACAACUGCAUAUUUGUUUGGUUUUUUUUUUUCUUUUUUUGUUGAUUUGAUCGCAGGAAUCAAAUAAGCAAACAAAAUACAAAAGGAAGAUGCAAAUGAAUAAUCAAAGUAAGAGUAUCAAAAUUCAAUCCUGCAACACACCCAUAUAUAUGAGAAUUAAUCUAGGGAAUGCGUAUACAAUAUACAUAUAUAUUUAUUGUGAAACUUGGUGUGUCUAUUAAUUGACGUAAAUCGUAAUGUCAUUUGAGGUGAGAUGAGAUGAGAUGAGAUGAGGUGGGGUUUAUUCUUCCCAAUUACUAAGUAUCAUCAUAUUGCCAGAAUUUGAAUAUCUGUUAGUGAACGAGAUUAUUUAUAACAAAAGUUCAGUUAUUAUUAUUAUUAUUAUUACUAUUAUUACUUUUCGUGCGCUUUGAUAAUUAUUUAAAGAAAAAGUCUGCCUAUCAUCUACCUACAUGCCCACAAAUGCUGCUGGCUUAUUUAAUGAAUGACAUACAAUUUUAUAUAUAUAUUAAAAUUAAUUAAUUGAUUGAUUGGGCAAAGCAUAUACAUACAAUAAUGCUUGGAUAUUAUCUAUCUAUUAUAUAAUGAAAAAAGUUAUUUAUCUUGUUGCAUCAAUUAGCAUUAAAUAUUAAAUAUUAAUCAGUGGUGCACUUUUAUCACUGAUAAUAAUAAUAAUCUCACAUACACACAUAAGUAUACACCUGCAACAUAUAUAAAUAUAUUAUUUUUUUUUCACUAGUGUCCUGUGAACGCUAUAAUUUCUAUUAUUAUUAUUACUAUUAUCUUUGAAAAAAUAAUUAAUGCGUGUUGUUGUUGUUAUUGCCUAUAUUGUGCACAGGCCAAAAAAAAAAAAAAAAACGAUAAGUGAAGGUGGAAGAAAAAGAAAAAAAAAAAAUGUGCAAUCAAGUUGUUUUUAAUAAUUUAGUUGAGACGUUUUAAAUGACGUUUUGUUUGUGAGCAAGUUUUUAUAAUUGUUUAUCUAUUAUUAAUAUAUUGAUGGUUACUGCAGUUGUUAUAUUAUUUAAACAUAUGCGAGUAGUUGCAUAGUGCGGUUUUAAUUUAUUUUUUAUUUUUUUCCAUUUUACAUUAUUACAAGUUGAUUGUGAUUUGUUAUUUUUAAUUUUGGUUUUUUUUUUUUUUUUUUCAAAUAGUUAUUACACAUGUACUAGUUUACCUACCUAUACAUGUUUUUUUGAAAAUUAAUUUUUUUAAUUCUUUCACAAUUAAAUUAUCAUUAUUGCAAUGCAUUUUAUAUUAUAUAUAUAAUUAAAAAAGAAAAAUAAUAAUAAUACUAUUGUGCUAUGUGAAUGAUAUAUAUAGAGAGUGAUUGUGAUUAAUUAUUAUUGAUGACAAUGUAUAUAAUUAUGAUGAUGAUUAUUUAAAUGGCCUGUUUUUAACCGCACUGCUAUAAAAGUUACACGAUUCGUGAAAAAAAAUAUAGUAAUAAUAUCCAAAAAAAUUACAUGCAAAUUGGGAUGAUGAAAGGAAAAAAGGAAAAAAAAAAAAAAAAAAAGUGUUACAUUUGUAGAAGUGGCUUAUUUCUUGCUAGAAAUCCUGAGCAUUAUUAUUAUAAUUAUGUGAGUGUUUUAUGGCCUUUUUAUUUUUUUACUUAAAAAUUUGUUAAUAUUUUUCUAUUAUCAUCAUUAUUUGAUGAUUUAUUUAUUUAUUACUAACUUUCAUAUAUAGUUUUGUCAAUCAACACAUUGUUUUUAAAUUUCAAUUACUAUUAUUAUUAUUAUUAUUAUUAUAAAUAUUAUAACAUUUUAUGUAAAUAAUUAAUGCUAUAUACUUGUUUAUGCAAAAAGACAUUAUAUUACUAAUAAUGCUCGAUAUAAUUUGUAUGUCGAUUUAAAAUAAUAAUAAAAAUAUUUAUGAUGUUGGGGGCGAGGGUGGGUCAAGGUCUAGGCUAUUACUAAUUACCCUUGCGAAUUUUUUUCAAUACAUAUUUUCAGGCAACGAAAAAAAAAGAAAAAAAAGCACUCGCACUCUGCUGCUACUUGUGCAAAAUUAUUUAUUUCAUUAUUUACUUAUUGACUGAUAAAUUGAUAAAUUAAAAUUGAAAAAUAUUGCUGCUAUAGCUGUCUGGCUACUUUUUUUGUUUGGCAUCAUGAAUAUUAUGGGAGAAUCAAGAGAUAUUAUGAUAAAGUUGGCCUGAUGUCACUGAAUUGUUGCUAUAAUUACAUUAUUGUGAUACACAUGAUAUUUGGGAAAUAAUAAUAAUAAUAAUCCUCUUGGCAUGCAUCUAUAAUCUAUAUAUUGGCUGAAUUAAAUAAUUAAAUUUUCUUGUGUCAGUACGAGUCAGUAAUCAGUAUCACCAAUUUAUAUAUACAUAUUUACAACAAACGAGUUACAAAUAGUCGUUGUAUUUAUUGUCCAGCUUUUUCAAACCAUGAUGAAGAUGAUAUUAUUAAUAUUAUAUGUUAUAACACUGCAUUUUAUUUAUAUUUGAGGAUUAUUACAUAAUAUUAUAUACAUGUAUUGCUGACAUGGUAGAGAGGUACGCGCUAUAUUUAUUUAAUUUAUUAUUUAUAUAUUAAUAAUAUUUUAAUUACAUCUAUUUAUUAAUAUUUAUUUAAUGCUUAACACAAUUUCAUGUGCAUAACAUGUAUGAUGUAUUAAUAUUUAUUUCAUCAUGAUGGAGACAAAAUAUCUGUCUUUUUUAAAACAAAAACAAUUUGGAAUUUUUAAUGAGCACUUGGUAUACAUAUAUAUAAAUGAGGAAUUAAUAAACCAGCAGCUGAAGAUUAUCAUAAACACACUAGAUCAAGUUGGGUAGUCACAUUAAUGGAUUAUGUAUAUGAGCACCACACAAUUUAAUAACGAGACGCAGACUCUUUUUUUUUCAAAUGCAGCUAUUUGUUAUGUACCUAUUAUAUAAUUGAGGAAUGAUAAUGAUGAUGGGCAUUGCGUGAGUCUUUCUAUUUAAGUAGGUAACAAAAACAUGUAGUUUUUCUCCAGUGUGUUGUUUUUUUUUUUCUUUUUUUUUCCCUGCUAACCGAGUGUUUUAGAGAUAUCAAGAUAUACCAACAAUCUUGAAGGAAUUUACUUGCUGCACUGUUGUAACUGUUAAUCACGAGGAUGAUGAUGAUGAUGAUCCUAUUAUUUAGUCACAAUGAAAUAUCAUCAGUAAAAAUAGUCGUGGCCUGAAUUAAUUAGAGCUUCUCCUUAUUGGUGAUGUUGUGGUUGUUGUUGUUCAUCAUAUUCUUCUUUUUCUUCAACUACCUCUUUAACCAAGGAAAAAACAGCGACAAUUUAUUUGGCUCAUCUUGCUAGUAGUCAUCACGUUGAUUAUGCAACUACACCGUGCCAGUCCAUAGUAUAUAUAUAAUAGGAUAGCAGUUUUAUAUUUUUUGUCAUCUACUCAUAUCAACUCAUCUAUACUCGUCAUUUGAGAUUGCAAGAUUCAGCUUCUCUUUAAUAAUAAUGAGUGGCUUUUUAACACAACUAUUCAAGAUGAAUUAUUUCGUGUUCAUCGAGGGUUGUUGCAUUAUGUAUUCAUCAUCAAUUGACGCUGCACCAAAAUACACUGAAACACAUAACUCCGCAAGUUCCUCCAAUACAAUGGGCUUUUUACUAAAUAAAUAUAUUCCCAAUAAUUGUGAUGCACCUCAUCAGCACGCAAAUUCCGAGGGUGGUAUGGAAUUUUUAUAUCUUUCUACAGUCAGCAACUUCAUGGAUGUAUCCAGAUGUAUCCAGAGUUCCAGCAAAAAGGCAUUUUUUUUCUUAAAAAAAAGAUUAUAUUCCAAUUAUUUACUUUUUACAGUUAUUAUCAUUUUUUAUUUUAUUUAACAAUAUUAUAAUAAUUUAUUAUUGGGUUGCAAAUGAUUUUUCAUUUAAAAUAUAAAAAAAUAAAAAAAUAAUAUUAAAUUUAAAAAAUUGAAAAAAAAAAAAAAAACUAAGAAAUAAAAAAAAUAGAAAUCUAAAAAAUUAAAAAAAAACAUGAAUAAAAAUAAAUAAAAAAUUACAUUAACAAAAAAAUAAAUAGAAAAUAGAAAAAAAAAAGGUUGGGGGGAGAGGGGCUGGACCAGCGCAGAAGAAAGAAGACAUCGCAGAAGAGGACCCCAGAGGAGCAGUGGACCAGAGGACUUCAUCGUGGGAUCAACCUGGACGUGGACGUGGACCUGGACCUGGACGUGGAGCUGGAUCAAGUGGACAUCAUCGUGGGACGUGGACAAGAAGACAACAUGGAUUAUUAAUUGCGACAUUGAAGGACUAGUAUGAAUCAUUAACAAGAGUCCAAUACUCAUAAAUUCAUUGGCAAUUUUGGGAAACAAACAAUGAUAUAAUUCAAAUGAAAUUUACAAUUUUUUGUCAAUCAACGUACAUACCCUUAUAGAACAAGUAAAAAUAAUUAUUUAUUAUUUUUUAUCAUCUUUCGGUUAAUUAAUAACAAUAGGCCAGACAUUUAAAUUAAAAAGACUGACAAAAAAAAGUAAACGACACACACACACACUUUAUAAACUUUUAACUUAACUUUUUGCAUCAACAGAUUCGAGUCUUUAUCUUUCUUAUUUCCAUGAUUAAAUAAUUUUAAUGAUUGAUGCACAAUAAAAAACUAAUUUUUCUAAAUUUACAACAAAUCAAAAUAUCCAAAUUCUACAAAAGUAAAAAUACACAGUAUUUAAUGAAUUAGUUAUUGAAGCAAAAGUACAAUUAAUUGACAAAAUG